UACGAGGGGGGCGAGCGUUGUUCGGAAUUAUUGGGCGUAAAGGGUGCGUAGGCGGUUUGGUAAGUCUGAUGUGAAAUCUAUGGGCUCAACUCAUAGUCUGCAUCGGAAACUGCCGGGCUUGAGUAUGGGAGAGGUGAGUGGAAUUCCUGGUGUAGCGGUGAAAUGCGUAGAGAUCGGGAAGAACAUCGGUGGCGAAGGCGCUCUACUGGACCACAACUGACACUCAGGGACGAAAGCUAGGGGAGCGAAUGGG
This 253-nucleotide ribosomal RNA is filed under the name uncultured bacterium. RNAcentral's name for it is "partial 16S ribosomal RNA". It matches the Rfam family "Bacterial small subunit ribosomal RNA", at positions 524 to 776 of the family's 1533-position model. The record is from RNAcentral.